AGAUUGAACGCUGGCGGCAUGCCUUACACAUGCAAGUCGAACGGUAGAGUAGCAAUACUUGAGAGUGGCGAACGGGUGAGUAAUAUAUCGGAACGUGCCCAGUCGUGGGGGAUAACGUAGAGAAAUUUACGCUAAUACCGCAUACGAUCUAAGGAUGAAAGCGGGGGACCGUAAGGCCUCGCGCGAUUGGAGCGGCUGAUAUCAGAUUAGGUUGUUGGUGAGGUAAAAGCUCACCAAGCCGACGAUCUGUAGCUGGUUUGAGAGAACGACCAGCCACACUGGGACUGAGACACGGCCCAGACUCCUACGGGAGCAGCAGUGGGGAAUUUAGGACAAGUGGGCGAAAGCCUGAUCCAGACAAUGCCGCGUGCAGGGAAGAACGGCCGUUCGGGUUAGUAAACGUGUCUUUUGUACGGUAACGGAAACGGUUCGU
This 433-nucleotide ribosomal RNA is filed under the name uncultured soil bacterium. RNAcentral describes it as "bacterial SSU rRNA". It matches the Rfam family "Bacterial small subunit ribosomal RNA", at positions 26 to 460 of the family's 1533-position model. The record is from RNAcentral.